CAAGUCGAACGGUAACAGGUUAAGCUGACGAGUGGCGAACGGGUGAGUAAUGUAUCGGAACGUGCCCAGUCGUGGGGGAUAACUGCUCGAAAGAGCAGCUAAUACCGCAUACGACCUGAGGGUGAAAGCGGGGGAUCGCAAGACCUCGCGCGAUUGGAGCGGCCGAUAUCAGAUUAGGUAGUUGGUGAGGUAAAGGCUCACCAAGCCGACGAUCUGUAGCUGGUCUGGGAGGACGACCAGCCACACUGGGACUGAGACACGGCCCAGACUCCUACGGGAGGCAGCAGUGGGGAAUUUUGGACAAUGGGCGCAAGCCUGAUCCAGCCAUGCCGCGUGCGGGAAGAAGGCCUUCGGGUUGUAAACCGCUUUUGUCAGGGAAGAAAAGGUUCUGGCUAAUACCUGGGACUCAUGACGGUACCUGAAGAAUAAGCACCGGCUAACUACGUGCCAGCAGCCGCGGUAAUACGUAGGGUGCAAGCGUUAAUCGGAAUUACUGGGCGUAAAGCGUGCGCAGGCGGUUAUGCAAGACAGAGGUGAAAUCCCCGGGCUCAACCUGGGAACUGCCUUUGUGACUGCAUGGCUAGAGUACGGUGGAGGGGGAUGGAAUUCCGCGUGUAGCAGUGAAAUGCGUAGAUAUGCGGAGGAACACCGAUGGCGAAGGCAAUCCCCUGGACCUGUACUGACGCUCAUGCACGAAAGCGUGGGGAGCAAACAGGAUUA
RNAcentral lists this ribosomal RNA (720 nucleotides) under uncultured Burkholderiales bacterium. Its description in RNAcentral is "bacterial SSU rRNA". It matches the Rfam family "Bacterial small subunit ribosomal RNA", at positions 58 to 780 of the family's 1533-position model. Lineage: Bacteria; Pseudomonadati; Pseudomonadota; Betaproteobacteria; Burkholderiales. The record is from RNAcentral.